Oncorhynchus tshawytscha (Chinook salmon) is the source of this 1054-nucleotide long non-coding RNA. RefSeq lists it as uncharacterized. The record is from RefSeq and is a predicted model, not a curated record. NCBI's taxonomy places the organism in Eukaryota, Metazoa, Chordata, Actinopteri, Salmoniformes, Salmonidae. The transcript has 2 exons.
GUGAAAGAGGAGGAGGAUGUUACAAUAAAAGAAGAGGAGGAUGCAGUUUUAGGAGUGAAAGAGGAGGGGGAGAUGACGUUCACAUUGAAAGAGGAGAAGGAGGAAGAAGAGGAGGUUGGAGCUCUGUUUAACACCAGAGAGGGACCAGACUCUCUCAGCGGGGAGACUCCUUCAGGGGAACCAGACCCAGAGACGCCCAAACCAGCGAGACAACACCUCUGUUCCCAGUGUGGAAAGAGUUUUAAGGGGUUAAGGAACCUGAAAGUACACGAGAGAACGCAUACAGGAGAAAACCCUUAUGAUUGCUCCCAUUGUGGAAAGAGUUUUACCAAGUUAGAGAAGAUAAAAGAGCAUGAGAGGACACACACAAGAAAAAAGUGUUUCCAAUGUUCCCAGUGUGGAAAGAGGUUUACCCAGUUACGGUACCUGAAACAACAUGAAGAAAUACACACAGUAGAUAGGAAUACCUACCACUGCUCUCAGUGUGGAAAGAUAUUUACUGGGUUAGGGAACUUGAAAAUACAUAUGAGAAUACACUCUGGAGUGAAGCCUUACCACUGUUCCCACUGUAAAGAGUUUUAGGUGGUAUGCGAGCAGGAGAGAAAACACAGGAGAAAAGCCUUACCACUGUUCCAAUUGUGAAAAGAGUUUUACCCAUCAAGGGAGCCUGAAAGCGCACGAGAGAAUACACUUGGGGGGAAAAACCUUACCAAUGUUCCCGGUGUGAAAAGAGUUUUACCCGGUUAGGGAGCUUGAAAAGGCAUGAAAGAAUACACACAGGAGAAAAGCUUUUCCAACAUACUAAGGCACAGGAGGAGAAGACAUACAACUGCUCUCAUUGUGAAAAUACAUUUCAGUCAAAGGACCUGAAAUCACACGGGAGAAUAGAGAGGCUGUGUUCUGACUUAUGUUUUUGAUUGUGAAAUUGUGUUUUUGUUCAUGCUACAUUAAAUCAUAUUGUAUGAAUGAAAUCAUACUGAAAAAUAGAUCAUUUCUUUUGUUCAGCUCAAGACAUGAUCAUGUUGAAAAUCACAUUAAAAUAGUUUUAAAAAUA